GUUGUGGAAGCGAACUGGGAGAGGUGAGAUGCAGGAAGGUAGCAAUGGUUUGUAGAGUUUUAACAGCGUCGCCAUUCAGAGAGAUGAAGACGACGGCCGCUACGACGAUGGCAGAGGAGGAGGAGCAGGAGAGCCGGUGACCGCCGAUUUGCGGAAAAUCUUUGCUCAGAGCGAGUGGUGUUGCUCUAUCCGCAAUUUUAUUCUGU
RNAcentral lists this long non-coding RNA (206 nucleotides) under Nicotiana benthamiana. RNAcentral's name for it is "long non-coding RNA (NBEN_LNC035127)". The record is from RNAcentral. Lineage: Eukaryota; Viridiplantae; Streptophyta; Magnoliopsida; Solanales; Solanaceae.